AUGAAUGAAAUGUUAUUAGCCCAGUGUACCCAUGAUGAUGUACGUAAGGUUGUGCAUAGUAUAGGAGAUCUCAAGGCGCUUGGCCCUGAUGGUCUCCAUGCUAUAUUUUGUAAGAAGUUCUGGCAUAUUAUUGGUGAUGAGGUUUCCCAGGAGGUGUUGUUUGCGAUCAAUACAAGGCAGAUCCCGGUAGAGUGGAAUGAUACGUCCGUUGUACUCAUUCCCAAGGUAGACUCACCUGAACAAAUUACACAACAUAGACCUAUCAGUCUAUGUAAUGUGUUGUAAAAAAUUAUCUCAAAGAUGUUGGCUGCUAGACUGGAAGGUAUUCUACUUGAUAUUAUCUCCCCCACUCAAAGUGCAUUUGUUCCGGGACGUUUAAUUACUGAUAAUGUACUAAUAGCAUAUGAGUGUGUCCAUAAGAUAAAAACUGAAAGAGAAGGUUGCAGGGGGCUAUGUGCAGUGAAAUUGGAUAUGCAUACGGCCUAUGACCGGGUUGACUGGAUAUUCUUGAGAGCUAUGAUGGAAAAACUUGGUUUUGAUACUGGUUGGAUAGACAUGAUAAUGGCCUGUGUAUCUUCUGUUAGAUAUAAGGUCAGAUUCAACUCCCAGGAGACACUGAGAUUUACCCCUACUAGGGGGAUUCGGCAAGGGGACUCCCUCUCCCCUUAUUUGUUCCUUAUUUGUGCGGAACGGUUGUCCAGUAUGUUGACGUUUGAAGAAGAAGUUGGUGGCAUAGAUGGGAUUAGAGUGUGCAGAAAUGCACCGUCAGUUUCACAACUUUUAUUUGCUGACGAUUCUCUAUUUCUCAUGAGAGCAGAUGCGAUGAAUGCAAUUUCCUUACAAAACGUACUGGAUACCUAUUGUGCAAGUUCAGGACAAAUGGUGAGUUUGGCCAAGUCUAGCAUUUUCUUCGGUCCCAACACCUCAGUUGUUUCAAAAGCAGAAAUUAGUCAAAUUCUUCAUAUUGACACAGAAGCAUUAUCUGACAAUUAUCUUGGGUUGCGAGCAAUUGUGGGAGCUGACAAAAGUGACUGUUUCAGACAUUUCGUUGAUAGAAUUAAAGCAAGAUCGAUAGGUUGGAUGGAGAAACAACUAUCAAUUGGAGGUAAAGAGAUUUUAUUAAAGUCUGUGGCACAGGCCAUUCCAGUUUUUGCCAUGUCAGUUCUUAGUCUUCCGAAAGGAAUUUGCAAAGAAAUCACAGAUAUUUUUUGCACAAUUUGGGUGGGGUGA
Molecule: ribosomal RNA, 1230 nt
Filed under: Triticum aestivum (bread wheat)
Lineage: Eukaryota; Viridiplantae; Streptophyta; Magnoliopsida; Poales; Poaceae
Description: partial small subunit ribosomal RNA
Source: RNAcentral